This 324-nucleotide ribosomal RNA is filed under the name uncultured Bacteroidota bacterium. RNAcentral's name for it is "bacterial SSU rRNA". It matches the Rfam family "Bacterial small subunit ribosomal RNA", at positions 28 to 351 of the family's 1533-position model. The record is from RNAcentral. Lineage: Bacteria; Pseudomonadati; Bacteroidota.
GAUGAACGCUAGCGGGAGGCUUAACACAUGCAAGUCGAGGGGUAAGAGAGUAGCAAUACUUUCCAAGACCGGCGCACGGGUGAGUAACGCGUAUGCAACCUGCCCUUUACAGGGGGAUAGCCCGGAGAAAUCCGGAUUAAUACCCCAUAGACCUGCAGAUCCGCAUGGAUUAACAGGUAAAGCUGCGGCGGUAAAGGAUGGGCAUGCGUGACAUUAGCUAGUUGGCGGGGUAACGGCCCACCAAGGCUACGAUGUCUAGGGGUUCUGAGAGGAAGGUCCCCCACACUGGUACUGAGACACGGACCAGACACCUACGGGAGGCUG